Molecule: ribosomal RNA, 253 nt
Filed under: uncultured bacterium
Lineage: Bacteria
Description: partial 16S ribosomal RNA
Rfam family: Bacterial small subunit ribosomal RNA
Source: RNAcentral
UACGAAGGGGGCUAGCGUUGCUCGGAAUCACUGGGCGUAAAGCGCACGUAGGCGGACGCUUAAGUCAGGGGUGAAAUCCUGGAGCUCAACUCCAGAACUGCCUUUGAUACUGGCGAUCUUGAGUCCGGGAGAGGUGAGUGGAACUGCGAGUGUAGAGGUGAAAUUCGUAGAUAUUCGCAAGAACACCAGUGGCGAAGGCGGCUCACUGGCCCGGUACUGACGCUGAGGUGCGAAAGCGUGGGGAGCAAACAGG